This 388-nucleotide ribosomal RNA is filed under the name uncultured bacterium. RNAcentral describes it as "bacterial SSU rRNA". It matches the Rfam family "Bacterial small subunit ribosomal RNA", at positions 30 to 418 of the family's 1533-position model. The record is from RNAcentral.
AUUGAACGCUGGCGGAAUGCUUUACACAUGCAAGUCGGGCGGCAGCGCGGGGGCAACCCUGGCGGCGAGCGGCGAACGGGUGAGUAAUGCAUCGGAACGUGCCAUUGAGUGGGGGAUAACGUAGCGAAAGUUACGCUAAUACCGCAUAUUCUGUGAGCAGGAAAGCAGGGGACCGCAAGGCCUUGCGCUCUUUGAGCGGCCGAUGUCAGAUUAGCUAGUUGGUGAGGUAAAGGCUUACCAAGGCGACGAUCUGUAGCGGGUCUGAGAGGAUGAUCCGCCACACUGGAACUGAGACACGGUCCAGACUCCUACGGGAGGCAGCAGUGGGGAAUUUUGGACAAUGGGCGCAAGCCUGAUCCAGCCAUGCCGCGUGAGUGAAGAAGGCCUC